RNAcentral lists this ribosomal RNA (484 nucleotides) under uncultured bacterium. RNAcentral's name for it is "partial 16S ribosomal RNA". It matches the Rfam family "Bacterial small subunit ribosomal RNA", at positions 30 to 507 of the family's 1533-position model. The record is from RNAcentral.
AUUGAACGCUGGCGGCAUGCCUAACACAUGCAAGUCGAGCGGAAGAAGGCAGCUUGCUCCUGGAUUCAGCGGCGCGCGGGUGUGUAAUGCCUAGGAAUCUGCCUGCUAGGGGGGUAUCACGUCCGGAGACGAGCGCUUAUACCGCAUACUUUCUGAGUGAGAACGUGGGGGCGCUUCGGACCUCACGCUAGCAGAUGAGCCUAGGUCGGAUUAGCUAGUUGGUGGGGUAAAGGCCUACCAAGGCCACGAUCCGUAGCUGGUCUGAGAGGAAGAUCAGUCACACUGGAACUGAGACACGGUCCAGACUCCUACGGGAGGCAGCAGUGGGGAAUUUUGGACAAUGGGCGCAAGCCUGAUCCAGCAAUGCCGCGUGUGGGAAGAAGGUCUUCGGAUUGUAAAGUGCUUUUGUUUGGGAGGAAGCGCAUUAGGUUAAUACCUUGCUGUAUUGACGUUACCGAAAGAAUAAGCACCGGCUAACUACGUG